Molecule: long non-coding RNA, 1265 nt
Organism: Drosophila miranda
Lineage: Eukaryota; Metazoa; Arthropoda; Insecta; Diptera; Drosophilidae
Exons: 4
Source: RefSeq, a predicted model, not a curated record
CUUAGAGUAAACGCACGCGUCCUUUAGAACCAACAACAAUAGGCGUAGUGUGUGUGUUUGUGGGCCCAGGCCAGUGUUGGGAAGUGAAAGUGAAAUGCAAAACGUGUGAAAAACGCAUGAAACUCCUUUUGCGGGGGCUUUCACUGUUUGUUUGUGUGCUAUGCAGCUGAAUACAACGCGUAUAUAAAAAUAGAUAUACUGCACUCACGUUUAACUAUUACAUAAAGUGGCACAUCAUCAUUUAUAACACAUCGACAACAUAUAAAAUUCAACAAAGGAAACAACAAUUGAAACAAACUAAAAGUAAACAACAAUUAAAGGAACAUUUUUAAAGACGCAUCACAAAAUGUAAGGCAAUAAUCAGCACAAAAGCCAGCAAAAGCUUACAAUAGAAGUAGAAGAAGCACCAUCGCUUGGCUUGGCUCUUGAAGCUUGCUGGGAGGAGAGUGCUGGGUAAGAGGAGAGGACUGGAUUGGAUUGGAUUGGGGCAGUAGCAGCAGCAGCAGUAGCAGCUGCAGCGAUGCCAAGUGCCAUUAUUGGAAACUGUCGUAAUCAUAAGAUUUGCAUACUAUAGCCAUAGUAUCAUCAUGAAAAGCACCAGCGUGAUAAGCACAACAACAACAAAAACAAAAACAACAAUCAUAGGAGAAAUAGCAACAAAAUGGUUAACAAAGGGAACGGUGACAAUAUUAACGGUAAACGAAGCGAUCCGCAUGCAUGAAAAGUGAGAGUGAGGGAGUGAGACAUAUGUACAUAUGUAUAGUACUACAUACAUACAAUACAUUCCGUUAUCGAGUGAGAGCCGAGCUUUAAGAGAGGGAGAGAAAGAGAGAGACAUGACGCUACGCUGAGGAGAUAGGAUAUAUAUAUAUAUAUAUAGCAUAGGACACAAAAUACAGGAGACAACAGCAUCGCAACAACCGCCAGAGGCGCAGAACAAACAAAACGACGACAAUCAGUCAAGAUGAGUGAUGAUCAAGCCGGGGCCAAUGAUGAAAAAGAAUUACUUUACUUUCGUAUGCACAUAUGCCAUUCAAGUCUGGGGAUGUGCAGCGAAGACGCAUCUGAAUAAAAUCAGAGUCAUGCAAGCGAAGGCUCUAAGGGCGAUGACAGGUGCCCCGUGGUUUGUUCGGACCACAAUGCUGGAAAGAGAUCUCCUCAUCCCAAAAAUUGGAGAUCAAAUAAACCAUCAUAGCAGUCGAUACAACGAUAGGCUCAUUAACCAUCCAAAUGAAACAGCUAGAGGAUUACUGCACCCCCAAGUC